GGCGGGGCUAUAAUGCAGUCGAGCGAGCAGAACCAGCAGAUUUACUUCGGUAAUGACGCUGGGGGCCCUUGCGGCGGAUGGGUGAGUAACACGUGGGGAACCUGCCCCAUAGUCUGGGAUACCACUUGGAAACAGGUGCUAAUACCGGAUAAUAAAGCAGAUCGCAUGAUCAGCUUAUAAAAGGCGGCGUAAGCUGUCGCUAUGGGAUGGCCCCGCGGUGCAUUAUCUAGUUGGCAAGGUAACGGCUUACCAAGGCAAUGAUGCAUACCCGAGUUGAGAGACUGAUCGGCCACAUUGGGACUGAGACACGGCCCAAACUCCUACUGGAGGCAGCAAUAGGAAAUCUUCCACAAUGGACGCAAGUCUGAUGGAGCAACGCCCCGUGAGUGACCAAGGCUUUCGGAUCGUAAAGCUCUGUUGACUGGUGAAGAAUGAUAGAGGUCUUAACUGGCCUUUAUUUGACGGUAAUCACCCACAAAGUUAUGUUUAACUACGUGCCUGCCCGCCGCGGUAAUACGUAGGUGGCAAGCGACUGCCCGUGAUUUAUUGGCCGUACAGCGAGCGCUAUGCCGAACAACUCCUCCUGAUGUCGAAAGCCCUCCGGCUUAACCUCAGGAACUGCAACUUCAAACUGUUUUU
RNAcentral lists this ribosomal RNA (639 nucleotides) under Lactobacillus helveticus. RNAcentral describes it as "bacterial SSU rRNA". It matches the Rfam family "Bacterial small subunit ribosomal RNA", at positions 41 to 640 of the family's 1533-position model. Lineage: Bacteria; Bacillati; Bacillota; Bacilli; Lactobacillales; Lactobacillaceae. The record is from RNAcentral.